Molecule: ribosomal RNA, 551 nt
Filed under: Ruegeria sp.
Lineage: Bacteria; Pseudomonadati; Pseudomonadota; Alphaproteobacteria; Rhodobacterales; Roseobacteraceae
Description: bacterial SSU rRNA
Rfam family: Bacterial small subunit ribosomal RNA
Source: RNAcentral
AGAUCNAAGGAAUAGCCACUGGAAACGGUGAGUAAUACCUUAUACGCCCUUUGGGGGAAAGAUUUAUCGGAUUUGGAUCGGCCCGCGUUAGAUUAGAUAGUUGGUGGGGUAACGGCCUACCAAGUCUACGAUCUAUAGCUGGUUUUAGAGGAUGAUCAGCAACACUGGGACUGAGACACGGCCCAGACUCCUACGGGAGGCAGCAGUGGGGAAUCUUGGACAAUGGGCGCAAGCCUGAUCCAGCCAUGCCGCGUGAGUGAUGAANGCCUUAGGGUCGUAAAGCUCUUUCGCCUGUGANGAUAAUGACGGUAGCAGGUAAAGAAACCCCGGCUAACUCCGUGCCAGCAGCCGCGGUAAUACGGAGGGGGUUAGCGUUGUUCGGAAUUACUGGGCGUAAAGCGCACGUAGGCGGACUGGAAAGUAUGGGGUGAAAUCCCAGGGCUCAACCCUGGAACUGCCUCAUAAACUAUCAGUCUAGAGUUCGAGAGAGGUGAGUGGAAUUCCGAGUGUAGAGGUGAAAUUCGUAGAUAUUCGGAGGAACACCAGUGGCG